RNAcentral lists this ribosomal RNA (861 nucleotides) under Triticum aestivum (bread wheat). RNAcentral describes it as "partial small subunit ribosomal RNA". Lineage: Eukaryota; Viridiplantae; Streptophyta; Magnoliopsida; Poales; Poaceae. The record is from RNAcentral.
AUGUUCUUCAUCGACGUGCUCCGCAGGGCCUUCGUUGAGCGGGAGUACACCGACGGGCACUUUCAUCUCCACCUGUACAGCUCCAAGACAAAGACAUGGAGCACCAAGCUGAUGCGCCUUGAUUCGCCGCCGGAUUUUGAGUUCCAUUCUCGCAACAAGGGGAUCACCAUCGGAGGGGAGCAUGGCUCUGUUGGUUGGGUCGACCUUAGGCGCGGCAUUCUCAUAUGUGACCUUCUCCUCCUUGACAGCAACCAGAGCCUUCGCUACGUCCCACUGCCUUCGCCGCUGUCGCCCGAGCCACUACAGCGUUAUCCGUUGUCUGUUCGGAACAUCGUUGUCCUCCAAGGUUACAUCAAGAAUUUCGAGAUGCACAAUAAUGUCAGACCGAGCUCAUACACUGGAAGCUCCCCGAUAUUAGAAGGUUGGAUUGCUGCAACAAAAAAGAUAAAAAUUUCAAGCAUUGGUUCUGGUAGUAACUGGGAGGAGGACUGCACUAUCAGAUGCUCUGAUGAUGUCCCAGUGGAUAACCCUGUGUAUGCCCAAAUGUUACCUAAUCCGCGGGAGGGUGAUGAUACCAAGCCAAACCUGAAGAAAAUUUGUGUAGGCUAUCCUGCUCUUAGCUUGCAUGAUGGUGAUGUUGUUUACCUCAUGCACACACCUGUUCCCCGUGAGGGUAAGGCCUGUGUGAUUGCUCUUGAUAUGAGGAACAAGACUGUAAAAGGUGUGGCUAAUUUUGGCUCUGGAAGACCCCUGGGUUAUCAUUUCACCUACCUUGAGAGUGGGAUCUCCAAGCAUCUAGGCAUUCUCUCAUCGACCAGGCAAGUAUCGAAUGCUGCUGAAACAAAUAGGGAUGUUAAGUAA